GAUGAACGCUGACAGAAUGCUUAACACAUGCAAGUCCACUUGAAUUUGGGUUUUUAACUUAGGUUUGGGUGGCGGACGGGUGAGUAACGCGUAAAGAACUUGCCUCACAGCUAGGGACAACAUUUGGAAACGAAUGCUAAUACCUAAUAUUAUGAUAAUAGGGCAUCCUAUAAUUAUGAAAGCUAUAAGCGCUGUGAGAGAGCUUUGCGUCCCAUUAGCUAGUUGGAGAGGUAACGGCUCACCAAGGCGAUGAUGGGUAGCCGGCCUGAGAGGGUGAUCGGCCACAAGGGGACUGAGACACGGCCCUUACGCCUACGGGAGGCAGCAGUGGGGAAUAUUGGACAAUGGACCAAGAGUCUGAUCCAGCAAUUCUGUGUGCACGAUGAAGUUUUUCGGAAUGUAAAGUGCUUUCAGUUGGGAAGAAAGAAAUGACGGUACCAACAGAAGAAGUGACGGCUAAAUACGUG
Molecule: ribosomal RNA, 467 nt
Filed under: uncultured bacterium
Lineage: Bacteria
Description: partial 16S ribosomal RNA
Rfam family: Bacterial small subunit ribosomal RNA
Source: RNAcentral